Molecule: ribosomal RNA, 441 nt
Filed under: uncultured bacterium
Lineage: Bacteria
Description: partial 16S ribosomal RNA
Rfam family: Bacterial small subunit ribosomal RNA
Source: RNAcentral
CCUACGGGAGGCAGCAGUGGGGAAUAUUGGUCAAUGGGCGCAAGCCUGAACCAGCAAAGCCGCGUGAGGGAAGAAGGCCCUCUGGUUGUUAACCUCUUUUAAGCGGGAAGAGCAGCAGACGGUACCUCUUGAAUAAGCCACGGCUAACUACGUGCCAGCAGCCGCGGUAAUACGUAGGUGGCAAGCGUUGUCCGAAUUUACGGGGUGUAAAGGGUGCGCAGGCGGAGUUGCAAGUCAGCGGUCAAAUUUCGGGGCACAACCCCGGACUGCCGUUGAAACUGCAUCCCUUGAGUGCGCGAGAAGUAUGCGGAAUGCGUGGUGUAGCGGUGAAAUGCAUAGAUAUCACGCAGAACUCCGAUUGCGAAGGCAGCAUACCGGCGCGCAACUGACGCUCAGGCACGAAAGCGUGGGGAUCGAACAGGAUUAGAUACCCCUGUAGUC